UCAGAGUUUGAUCGUGGCUCAGAGUGAACGCUGGCGGCAGGCCUAACACAUGCAAGUCGAACGGCAGCACAGGGGAGCUUGCUCCCUGGGUGGCGAGUGGCGGACGGGUGAGGAAUGCAUCGGAAUCUGCCUAUUUGUGGGGGAUAACGUAGGGAAACUUACGCUAAUACCGCAUACGACCUACGGGUGAAAGCCGGGGACCUUCGGGCCUGGCGCAGAUAGAUGAGCCGAUGCCGGAUUAGCUAGUUGGCGGGGUAAAGGCCCACCAAGGCGACGAUCCGUAGCUGGUCUGAGAGGAUGAUCAGCCACACUGGAACUGAGACACGGUCCAGACUCCUACGGGAGGCAGCAGUGGGGAAUAUUGGACAAUGGGCGCAAGCCUGAUCCAGCCAUGCCGCGUGGGUGAAGAAGGCCUUCGGGUUGUAAAGCUCCCCCCG
This 437-nucleotide ribosomal RNA is filed under the name Xanthomonas sp. xn1. Its description in RNAcentral is "bacterial SSU rRNA". It matches the Rfam family "Bacterial small subunit ribosomal RNA", at positions 1 to 439 of the family's 1533-position model. The record is from RNAcentral. Lineage: Bacteria; Pseudomonadati; Pseudomonadota; Gammaproteobacteria; Lysobacterales; Lysobacteraceae.